RNAcentral lists this ribosomal RNA (271 nucleotides) under uncultured prokaryote. Its description in RNAcentral is "partial 16S ribosomal RNA". It matches the Rfam family "Bacterial small subunit ribosomal RNA", at positions 524 to 794 of the family's 1533-position model. The record is from RNAcentral.
UACGUAGGUGGCGAGCGUUGUCCGGAUUUACUGGGCGUAAAGGGAGCGUAGGCGGACUUUUAAGUGAGAUGUGAAAUACCCGGGCUCAACUUGGGUGCUGCAUUUCAAACUGGAAGUCUAGAGUGCAGGAGAGGAGAAUGGAAUUCCUAGUGUAGCGGUGAAAUGCGUAGAGAUUAGGAAGAACACCAGUGGCGAAGGCGAUUCUCUGGACUGUAACUGACGCUGAGGCCCGAAAGCGUGGGGAGCAAACAGGAUUAGAUACCCUGGUAGU